GUGGGACAGAGCAGCGGGGUUAAAGAAAGGAGAGGAGGCGUGGGCUGCGCUGUGCUGUCGCUGGAGGCGCUCCCGGCGGCGCCUGCCUUGGUGCUUGCUAGUUGGUCGCCUCCAGUGAAAGGUCAUGGCAGGACCCAAGCGAACCUGGACAACUACCCUUAUCCCAGCCUCGGGACUGGAACAGCUGUGAGAGGAGACGAGACUCCCUGCAGAGGGCGGAGAUGACGUUAGCCUGACCAGACUCACGUACGCCCAAGUUCAAGGACCCGUCGUAACCUAAAAAUAUACUGGGUGAUCGUAGCUUCGAGCUUCCCCAACACUGAAGUUCCCUUUUUAAAAGCCUGAAGACUAAGUCGGAUGUCAGAACUACUGCAAAGCCCAGGGGCUGCUCUCCCUCUACUUUCACCUUUAUAUCUAAACCAAUGAGGCUGUCAGCUACGUAAUGCCCUCUCAUCGCUUCUCUUUAAGAUUGCCCUUCAGCUAGAGGCUAGGCAUUCAGGACAAGUUUCUCUAUGUAGACUUGGCUCUCCUUAUAGACCAGGUUAGCCUCACAGAGAUCCACCUGCUUCUUCCUCUCAGGUGCAGGGAUUAAAGGUCCUGGGGUUACAGUCUAUGAGGCUGGAUGUCUCAGCAGUCUCAAUCUGGCACUGAAGGCCUGGAGAAUUCCCG
RNAcentral lists this long non-coding RNA (669 nucleotides) under Cricetulus griseus (Chinese hamster). Its description in RNAcentral is "lncRNA (ENSCGRG00015041332.1)". The record is from RNAcentral. Lineage: Eukaryota; Metazoa; Chordata; Mammalia; Rodentia; Cricetidae.